This 94-nucleotide ribosomal RNA is filed under the name uncultured bacterium. RNAcentral describes it as "partial 16S ribosomal RNA". It matches the Rfam family "Bacterial small subunit ribosomal RNA", at positions 397 to 508 of the family's 1533-position model. The record is from RNAcentral.
CCGCGUGAGUGAUGAAGGCCUUAGGGUUGUAAAGCUCUUUCGACGGGGACGAUGAUGACGGUACCCGUAGAAGAAGCCCCGGCUAACUUCGUGC